Molecule: ribosomal RNA, 330 nt
Filed under: Heteroliodon occipitalis
Lineage: Eukaryota; Metazoa; Chordata; Lepidosauria; Squamata
Description: partial 12S ribosomal RNA
Source: RNAcentral
CGAAAGCUUAAAAUUUAAAAGACUUGACGGUACUUCACAUCAACCUAGAGGAGCCUGUCUAAUAACCGAUAACCCACGAUCAACCCAACCUUUUCUAGCCUAGCAGUCUAUAUACCGCCGUCGCCAGCUUACCUUGUGAAAGAAAUAAAGUAAGCCAAAUAGCACCACUCUAAUACGACAGGUCGAGGUGUAACCAAUGAAAGGGACUAAGAUGGGCUACAUUUCUCUCAGCCAGAAAAACGAAUAAACUAUGAAACUAGAAACUGAAGGCGGAUUUAGCAGUAAGCUAAGAACAAAAUACUUAACCGAAAUUAAUGCAAUGAAGUGCGC